GAUGAACGCUGGCGGCGUGCCUAAUACAUGCAAGUCGAGCGGACAGACCCGGAGCUUGUUCCUUUCUCGUUUGCCGCGCACGUGUGAAUCACACGUGUAUAACCUCCCUUUCAUACUGGUAUCACUUCGGGACACCGGCGCUUAUCCCGUAUAAUCUCUUGCUCCGCAUUGUUCAAUAGUGAAAUUCGGCUUUUCUGUCUCUUCUCGCUGGUUCCGCGCCGCAUUAGCUAGUUGGUAAGGUACCGGCUUACCAAGGGAACGCUGCGUAGGCGAACUGAGAGGGUGAUCGGCCACACUGGAACUGAGACACGGUCCAGAGGCAUACGGGAGGCAGCAGUAGGGAAUCUUCCGCAAUGGGCGAAAGACUGACGGAGAAACGCCGCGUGAGUGAGGAAGGUCUUCGGAUCGUAAAACUCUGUUAUUAGGGAAGAACAAAUGUGUAAGUAACUAUGCACGUCUUGAAGGUACAUAAGCAGAAAGCCACGGCUAAAUAAGUG
This 497-nucleotide ribosomal RNA is filed under the name uncultured bacterium. RNAcentral's name for it is "partial 16S ribosomal RNA". It matches the Rfam family "Bacterial small subunit ribosomal RNA", at positions 28 to 507 of the family's 1533-position model. The record is from RNAcentral.